GACGAACCGUCCAAACGUUAUUCGGUAUCACUGGGCUUAAAGCGUGCGUAGGCGGCCUGGUAGGUGAGAUGUGAAAGCCCACGGCUCAACCGUGGAAUUGCGUUUCAAACCACCAGGCUGGAGGAUGGCAGGGGUGAUGGGAACUGAUGGUGGAGCGGUGAAAUGCGUUGAUAUCAUCAGGAACACCGGUGGCGAAGGCGCAUCACUGGGCCAUUUCUGACGCUGAGGCACGAAAGCUAGGGUAGCGAACGGGAUUAGAAACCCCCGUAGUCC
Molecule: ribosomal RNA, 273 nt
Filed under: uncultured bacterium
Lineage: Bacteria
Description: partial 16S ribosomal RNA
Rfam family: Bacterial small subunit ribosomal RNA
Source: RNAcentral